RNAcentral lists this non-coding RNA (22 nucleotides) under Arabidopsis thaliana (thale cress). Lineage: Eukaryota; Viridiplantae; Streptophyta; Magnoliopsida; Brassicales; Brassicaceae. RNAcentral also lists the same sequence under 1 other name. The record is from RNAcentral.
CAAUGUGAUUUCUGCCCAGUGC